Molecule: transfer RNA, 85 nt
Filed under: Felis catus (domestic cat)
Lineage: Eukaryota; Metazoa; Chordata; Mammalia; Carnivora; Felidae
Also listed under: 3 other names
Rfam family: tRNA
About the family: Transfer RNA (tRNA) molecules are approximately 80 nucleotides in length. Their secondary structure includes four short double-helical elements and three loops (D, anti-codon, and T loops). Further hydrogen bonds mediate the characteristic L-shaped molecular structure. tRNAs have two regions of fundamental functional importance: the anti-codon, which is responsible for specific mRNA codon recognition, and the 3' end, to which the tRNAs corresponding amino acid is attached (by aminoacyl-tRNA synthetases). tRNAs cope with the degeneracy of the genetic code in two manners: having more than one tRNA (with a specific anti-codon) for a particular amino acid; and 'wobble' base-pairing, i.e. permitting non-standard base-pairing at the 3rd anti-codon position.
Source: Rfam by way of RNAcentral
GCCUGGGUGGCUGAGUCGGUUAAGCAUCUGCCUUCAGCUCAGGUCAUGAUCUCAUGGUUUGUGGGUUUGAGUCCCACGUCCGGCU